Molecule: long non-coding RNA, 1289 nt
Organism: Wasmannia auropunctata (little fire ant)
Lineage: Eukaryota; Metazoa; Arthropoda; Insecta; Hymenoptera; Formicidae
Exons: 3
Source: RefSeq, a predicted model, not a curated record
AAAAUCUGUCAGAGAGCGAUCGCAGUGUCAUGUCACGUUAUUUUUUGACAAGUAGCAUCUUUGAGCUGAUUACUGUCAAAUUUUGAGCGGAAUUCAUCACGUGGUUUCAUUUCUGUAGACGAAUAAAGCGAACAACCUUUGUAUUUUUUGCAAAAUAACAAGUUUCGUAUAGUGAUCAAACACCUAUAUAUGAAAGUUUUAACGCCGAAAAAAAUCAAAGCCGAGUUGGAUAAUGUUCAUAGCACAUCUGCACCAGCGUUUGCGACUGUACACAAUUAGAUAAAUAAAUUUAAAUGUAGUCGUACAUCCACAUGCCAUGUAUGUACACUCAUUCGGGACGUCCAAUUGAGGCUGCUACGCCAGAAAUCAUCGAUAAAGUCCACGAUAUUGUUUUGACUGAUCGACGAAUGAAAGUGCGCCAGCUUGUUGAGGCCACAGGCAUAUCACAUGGCACAGUAAUUUCAAUUUUGUACGAACAAUUGGGUAUGAAAAAGCUAUCGGCGAGAUAGGUGCCGCGUUUGCUCACUGUAGACCAUAAGCGCGAUCCUGAAUCUGAUGGCCAAAUUCAAUGAAUUCCGCUACGAAUUGCUUUCCUAUCUAGCAUAUUCGUCAGAUUUAGCCCCCUGCGACUAUUUCCUGUUUCCACACCUGAAGAAAUGGUUCGGAAAAAAAAGGUUCACCACCAAAAAGCAGCUCAUCGCCGAAACAAAAGCUUAUUUUGAAGGUUGGACAAAUCAUAUUAUUCGGACGGCUUGAAAAAGUUGGAGAAUCGUUGGAUCAAGUCCGCAAAAGGAUUCGAGAAUUGUGACAAUCUCUAUUAUCUAUAUUCUGCAGAUAAAAACAGAUCUAGCUGUUCUUUACACAUAUAAAGGUAUACAGAUUAUAACUGUCACAGUGCAUGGGAUACAGCAUAGUGUCAAUGGAACCGAAAUAAGGCACUGAUGUUAUAUGAAAGAAAUGAAAGAACAGAUUUUUUUUUAACUGACUGAGAAGAUUACAUGUAUUCUAUAACAUGUUUUAAUUCUUAACGUCAUUUUUAUGAUAUCAGUACAAUUGAUUAAUAUACACUGUAUAAAUAACUUUAUUUACAUUAUCAGAAUUAUCUUUACUUUAGUUUUCUUAUAAGUUACUUUAAAAGAAUAUUUUAGAGCACAUUAUGUAACAAAGAGUUCGAAUGUUUUAUAUCAUAUUUAUGUUAAGUUACUUUACAUAGGAUUUUAUGUUAAGAAAUACAUAUACAUUUAUAAUUAAAAUUUGAAAAAAUAUUAUAAGAUAAUUUUGGUAAUUAA